Molecule: ribosomal RNA, 501 nt
Filed under: uncultured Glomeromycotina
Lineage: Eukaryota; Fungi; Glomeromycota
Description: partial small subunit ribosomal RNA
Rfam family: Eukaryotic small subunit ribosomal RNA
Source: RNAcentral
CCAAUAGCGUAUAUUAAAGUUGUUGCAGUUAAAAAGCUCGUAGUUGAAUUUCGGGAUCAAUGUUUCGGUCAUGCCGUUGGUAUGUACUGAUAUUAUUGAUUUCUCACCUUCUAAAGAACCGUAAUGCCAUUAAUUUGGUGUCACGGGGAAUUAGGACUGUUACCUUGAAAAAAUUAGAGUGUUUAAAGCAGGCUAACGCUUGAAUACAUUAGCAUGGAAUAAUGAAAUAGGACGUUCGAUCUUAUUUUGUUGGUUUCUAAGAUUGACGUAAUGAUUAAUAGGGAUAGUUGGGGGCAUUAGUAUUCAAUUGUCAGAGGUGAAAUUCUUGGAUUUAUUGAAGACUAACUACUGCGAAAGCAUUUGCCAAGGAUGUUUUCAUUAAUCAAGAACGAAAGUUAGGGGAUCGAAGACGAUCAGAUACCGUCGUAGUCUUAACCAUAAACUAUGCCGACUAGGGAUCGGAUGAUGUUAAUUUUUUAAUGACUCAUUCGGCGCCUUACG